Molecule: long non-coding RNA, 627 nt
Filed under: Macaca mulatta (Rhesus monkey)
Lineage: Eukaryota; Metazoa; Chordata; Mammalia; Primates; Cercopithecidae
Description: lncRNA (ENSMMUG00000064074.1)
Source: RNAcentral
AGGAGGAUUAAGGCCUGUCUACUCUUAGAAAAUGGCCAAGACAGAUUUCUGCUGAAUCAACAUUACAUACAUCACACAUGUAAAUGAUAUCCUUUGAUUUGUAACCAGGCCUGUCAUUGCAAUAGGCCUGGAGGCCUUGAGAAGGAUUGCACCAUUCCCCACUGGUGGAGAGCCAGGGUGGUCCAUUUGCCACCACUGCAUCCCAGCUUCUCAGCAUUGGACCAGAAAAUCACAUGCUCCUAAUACUCACCGGACCCAGUUGAAAAGUUUGGGAAAUGCUUUCUUUCCACUCCAAACUUUCACAAUGCAAAGUCCUCUGUGAACUUGCCUCUUGUCUCCAGCAUCAUCUGAGUCAGAUUUGUUCUUCUCCAAAGGAAUGGUCAGUUAAGGCAUCAAUGAAACUUCUGUGACGUGACACCCCUGUCCUUCAUUGGUCCCCAUCAGACAGGUAAGGGUUUCAUAUCUGCUCUUCUGACACUUGUACAAGCUUACCAUUAUUUUAAAAUCUUGCCAUUCUUUUACAUUAGUCUGAGCAAUUCCAGGACUAAGAUUCUAACCAGUUUAUUCUUGUAUGAUCCUGCUUAAAGUACAUAGAAGGUGUGCAAGAAAUAAAUACAUUCAUUGGAG